CGGAUUGCAGCCUGCAACUCGGCUGCAUGAAGCUGGAAUCGCUAGUAAUCGCGGAUCAGGAUGCCGCGGUGAAUACGUUCCCGGGUCUUGUACACACCGCCCGUCACACCAUGGGGAGGUCGGGAACGCCCGAAGCCGGUGACCGAACCCUAACGGGGAGGAGCCGUCGAAGGCGGGCCUGGUGACUGGGGUGAAGUCGUAACAAGGUAAC
This 211-nucleotide ribosomal RNA is filed under the name uncultured bacterium. Its description in RNAcentral is "partial 16S ribosomal RNA". It matches the Rfam family "Bacterial small subunit ribosomal RNA", at positions 1294 to 1500 of the family's 1533-position model. The record is from RNAcentral.